GAAUUAAAUGGAUGAAAUAUGAAGUUUUAUUAAAAGAAAAAGGGGUGAAAAGAACAAAGUUUUGUCCAUCUUUGUUCAUCAUAGCUGAAAGUUAGAGAAGAGAAAGGAGAGGAGAAAGCUCUUGAGUAUCCGGUCAUUAGGAGGAGGAAAAUUGAAGGCGGUUCGUGUGUGGAUCUCGUCAUCAUAUCGUCACAAACAGGAAAUCCCCAACCAUAGUGGGCUUGGAGCUGUGAGGGAAUUCGAAGUGGCCACCCGUUUUGAAAGUUUGAUUUUCUUCUGGUGAGCUGGACAUCCUUUUAUUUACGUUUGAAGUUUUUGGGCUUUUAAAUGUAAUAAGGCCACUUGAUUAUUUUUGAUGGUUUUAAUAUGUAUUACUAAGACAGGUAAUACUUAUUUUAACUGUUGAAAUUGGAUAGCUUUAGGGCGCGUUUUCAGAAACAACAA
This is a long non-coding RNA of Gossypium arboreum, 444 nucleotides long. RefSeq lists it as uncharacterized. The transcript is spliced from 3 exons. Lineage: Eukaryota; Viridiplantae; Streptophyta; Magnoliopsida; Malvales; Malvaceae. The record is from RefSeq and is a predicted model, not a curated record.